This 103-nucleotide small nucleolar RNA is filed under the name Zostera marina. Its description in RNAcentral is "Small nucleolar RNA snoR31". It matches the Rfam family "Small nucleolar RNA snoR31". The record is from Rfam by way of RNAcentral. Lineage: Eukaryota; Viridiplantae; Streptophyta; Magnoliopsida; Alismatales; Zosteraceae.
UGGAUUAGGAUGAUCAAUUGAAUCAUAAUCCAACACUUGAUCUGAAGCUAAUUUUUUAUAAACUAGCGCGAUUGAUGUAUCUGGUUCAUUCUGCUGAAUCCUU